AGUGAACGCUGGCGGUAGGCCUAACACAUGCAAGUCGAACGGCAGCACAGUAAGAGCUUGCUCUUACGGGUGGCGAGUGGCGGACGGGUGAGGAAUACAUCGGAAUCUACUUUUUCGUGGGGGAUAACGUAGGGAAACUUACGCUAAUACCGCAUACGACCUACGGGUGAAAGCAGGGGAUCUUCGGACCUUGCGCGAUUGAAUGAGUCGAUGUCGGAUUAGCUAGUUGGCGGGGUAAAGGCCCACCAAGGCGACGAUCCGUAGCUGGUCUGAGAGGAUGAUCAGCCACACUGGAACUGAGACACGGUCCAGACUCCUUCGGGAGGCAGCAGUGGGGAAUAUUGGACAAUGGGCGCAAGCCUGAUCCAGCCAUACCGCGUGGGUGAAGAAGGCCUUCGGGUUGUAAAGCCCUUUUGUUGGGAAAGAAAAGCAGCAGGUUAAUACCCCGCUGUUCUGACGGUACCCAAAGAAUAAGCACCGGCUAACUUCGUG
This 492-nucleotide ribosomal RNA is filed under the name uncultured bacterium. RNAcentral describes it as "partial 16S ribosomal RNA". It matches the Rfam family "Bacterial small subunit ribosomal RNA", at positions 29 to 507 of the family's 1533-position model. The record is from RNAcentral.